RNAcentral lists this ribosomal RNA (253 nucleotides) under uncultured bacterium. Its description in RNAcentral is "partial 16S ribosomal RNA". It matches the Rfam family "Bacterial small subunit ribosomal RNA", at positions 524 to 776 of the family's 1533-position model. The record is from RNAcentral.
UACGUAGGGCGCAAGCGUUAUCCGGAAUUAUUGGGCGUAAAGAGCUCGUAGGCGGUUUGUCGCGUCUGCUGUGAAAUCCCGAGGCUCAACCUCGGGCCUGCAGUGGGUACGGGCAGACUAGAGUGCGGUAGGGGAGAUUGGAAUUCCUGGUGUAGCGGUGGAAUGCGCAGAUAUCAGGAGGAACACCGGUGGCGAAGGCAGGUCACUGGGCCGCAACUGACGCUGAGGAGCGAAAGCAUGGGGAGCGAACAGG